AGUCGAGGGGUAUGCUUCUUCGGAAGCAGAGACCGGCGCACGGGUGCGUAACGCGUAUGCAAUCUACCUUUUACAGAGGGAUAGCCCAGAGAAAUUUGGAUUAAUACCUCAUAGUAUAGCUGAAUCGCAUGAUUCUACUAUUAAAGUCACAACGGUAAAAGAUGAGCAUGCGUCCCAUUAGCUAGUUGGUAAGGUAACGGCUUACCAAGGCUACGAUGGGUAGGGGUCCUGAGAGGGAGAUCCCCCACACUGGUACUGAGACACGGACCAGACUCCUACGGGAGGCAGCAGUGAGGAAUAUUGGACAAUGGGCGCAAGCCUGAUCCAGCCAUGCCGCGUGCAGGAUGACGGUCCUAUGGAUUGUAAACUGCUUUUAUACGAGAAGAAACACUGCUUCGUGAAGCAGCUUGACGGUAUCGUAAGAAUAAGGAUCGGCUAACUCCGUGCCAGCAGCCGCGGUAAUACGGAGGAUCCAAGCGUUAUCCGGAAUCAUUGGGUUUAAAGGGUCCGUAGGCGGUUUAAUAAGUCAGUGGUGAAAGCCCAUCGCUCAACGGUGGAACGGCCAUUGAUACUGUUAAACUUGAAUUAUUAGGAAGUAACUAGAAAUAUGUAGUGUAGCGGUGAAAUGCUUAGAGAUUACAUGGGAAUACCAAUUGCGAAAGGCAGGUUACUACUAAUGGAUUGACGCUGAUGG
This 694-nucleotide ribosomal RNA is filed under the name Flavobacterium sp. T15.07.B.CHS.SRW.W.Kidney.D. RNAcentral describes it as "bacterial SSU rRNA". It matches the Rfam family "Bacterial small subunit ribosomal RNA", at positions 60 to 752 of the family's 1533-position model. Lineage: Bacteria; Pseudomonadati; Bacteroidota; Flavobacteriia; Flavobacteriales; Flavobacteriaceae. The record is from RNAcentral.